This 177-nucleotide ribosomal RNA is filed under the name uncultured bacterium. RNAcentral's name for it is "partial 16S ribosomal RNA". It matches the Rfam family "Bacterial small subunit ribosomal RNA", at positions 336 to 525 of the family's 1533-position model. The record is from RNAcentral.
CUCCUACGGAGGCAGCAGUGGGGAAUUUUGGCGUCAAUGGGGGAAACCCUGGACGCAGCAACGCCGCGUGGAGGAUGAAGUCCCUUGGGAUGUAAACUCCUUUCGAUCGGGACGAGUUAUGACGGUACCGGAAGAACGAACGCACCGGCUAACUCUGUGCCAGCAGCCGCGGAAUUC